Molecule: ribosomal RNA, 441 nt
Filed under: uncultured bacterium
Lineage: Bacteria
Description: bacterial SSU rRNA
Rfam family: Bacterial small subunit ribosomal RNA
Source: RNAcentral
ACUCCUACGGGAGGCAGCAGUGGGGAAUCUUGCGCAAUGGGCGAAAGCCUGACGCAGCCAUGCCGCGUGAAUGAUGAAGGUCUUAGGAUUGUAAAAUUCCUUCACCGGGGACGAUAAUGACGGUACCCGGAGAAGAAGCCCCGGCUAACUUCGUGCCAGCAGCCGCGGUAAUACGAAGGGGGCUAGCGUUGCUCGGAAUUACUGGGCGUAAAGGGCGCGUAGGCGGAUCGUUAAGUCAGAGGUGAAAUCCCAGGGCUCAACCCUGGAACUGCCUUUGUUACUGGCUAUCUUGAGUAUGAGAGAGGUAUGUGGAACUCCGAGUGUAGAGGUGAAAUUCGUAGAUAUUCGGAAGAACACCAGUGGCGAAGGCGACAUACUGGCUCAUUACUGACGCUGAGGCGCGAAAGCGUGGGGAGCAAACAGGAUUAGAUACCCUGGUAG